This 468-nucleotide ribosomal RNA is filed under the name uncultured bacterium. RNAcentral describes it as "partial 16S ribosomal RNA". It matches the Rfam family "Bacterial small subunit ribosomal RNA", at positions 28 to 507 of the family's 1533-position model. The record is from RNAcentral.
GACGAACGCUGGCGGCGUGCUUAACACAUGCAAGUCGAACGGAAAGGCCCUGCUUUUGUGGGGUGCUCGAGUGGCGAACGGGUGAGUAACACGUGAGUAACCUGCCCUUGACUUUGGGAUAACUUCAGGAAACUGGGGCUAAUACCGGAUAGGAGCUCCUGCUGCAUGGUGGGGGUUGGAAAGUUUCGGCGGUUGGGGAUGGACUCGCGGCUUAUCAGCUUGUUGGUGGGGUAGUGGCUUACCAAGGCUUUGACGGGUAGCCGGCCUGAGAGGGUGACCGGCCACAUUGGGACUGAGAUACGGCCCAGACUCCUACGGGAGGCAGCAGUGGGGAAUAUUGCACAAUGGGCGGAAGCCUGAUGCAGCAACGCCGCGUGCGGGAUGACGGCCUUCGGGUUGUAAACCGCUUUCGCCUGGGACGAAGCGUGAGUGACGGUAAUGGGUAAAGAAGCACCGGCUAACUACGUG